ACUAAGCGUACACGGUGGAUGCCCUGGCAGUCAGAGGCGAUGAAGGACGUGCUAAUCUGCGAUAAGCGUCGGUAAGGUGAUAUGAACCGUUAUAACCGGCGAUUUCCGAAUGGGGAAACCCAGUGUGAUUCGUCACACUAUCAUUAACUGAAUCCAUAGGUUAAUGAGGCGAACCGGGGGAACUGAAACAUCUAAGUACCCCGAGGAAAAGAAAUCAACCGAGAUUCCCCCAGUAGCGGCGAGCGAACGGGGAGGAGCCCAGAGCCUGAAUCAGUGUGUGUGUUAGUGGAAGCGUCUGGAAAGGCGCGCGAUACAGGGUGACAGCCCCGUACACAAAAAUGCACAUAUUGUGAGCUCGAUGAGUAGGGCGGGACACGUGGUAUCCUGUCUGAAUAUGGGGGGACCAUCCUCCAAGGCUAAAUACUCCUGACUGACCGAUAGUGAACCAGUACCGUGAGGGAAAGGCGAAAAGAAC
Molecule: ribosomal RNA, 475 nt
Filed under: Escherichia coli
Lineage: Bacteria; Pseudomonadati; Pseudomonadota; Gammaproteobacteria; Enterobacterales; Enterobacteriaceae
Description: bacterial LSU rRNA
Rfam family: Bacterial large subunit ribosomal RNA
Source: RNAcentral